Molecule: long non-coding RNA, 2665 nt
Organism: Oncorhynchus tshawytscha (Chinook salmon)
Lineage: Eukaryota; Metazoa; Chordata; Actinopteri; Salmoniformes; Salmonidae
Exons: 2
Source: RefSeq, a predicted model, not a curated record
UUGAGAUCGAUCAUAAAGUGAACCAAAAAAAAAGUGGCUGAGAUAUUUGUAAAAAUUGACAUUUUAUGAGAAAUUAAACUAAACUCUCCUUUUGACAUGGACAUAUAAACAAACAAAAAUCAUAAUGACAAGCUCCAAGAAAGAAAAAAAAAUCACUGGAUGCUAUGUAGAGACAGCAAGAACCAGCUCGCUAAAUAUACUUUGCAUAUAUAUUCAGUUUCUGACUGGGGGUUUCUCUGAUCUUAGUGGGUGGAUCGAGAGUAGCCGGCGCUGUUGAUAUGAUAUUUUAAGGAGAACUCCAUAAAAAUAAAAUAUCUGAUUUUGAUACGCCAUUCCCCUCUUUAAACGUUCCUUACAUGCUACGUUGGUUUUCCAUGAUAAUGCUUUAGUUUAGUAAACUCCAACUCCAUUCGGAUAGUCAGUCACACAUUUGGUUGGGCCAUAUAAAGUGUUCUGGAAAAUAUUAUUUGUGUAUAAUUUUACCCCUCAUUCAAAUAAAGAAUGAUUAAUCCAUGCCUUACAAAACAUAAUUCUGACUUAUUGUACUGUAUACAAACAAAUCCUAUUUUAGACAUUGACUUCACAAAUACAUCUCGAUCAACAUUGUUAAACAAUAAUCACAUUUCUCAUAGUUCUAGAAGACUGGCCACAUGGACUAGGUGUUCUCUCAUAGCUCUAGAAGACUGGCCACAUGGACUAGGUGUUCUCUCAUAGUUCUAGAAGACUGGCCACAUGGACUAGGUGUUCUCUCAUAGUUCUAGAAGACUGGCCACAUGGACUAGGUGUUCUCUCAUAGCUCUAGAAGACUGGCCACAUGGACUAGGUGUUCUCUCAUAGCUCUAGAAGACUGGCCACAUGAACUAGGUGUUCUCUCAUAGUUCUAGAAGACUGGCCACACGGACUAGGUGUUUUCUCAUAGUUCUAGAAGACUGGCCACAUGGACUAGGUGUUCUCUCAUAGUUCUAGAAGACUGGCCACAUGAACUAGGUGUUCUCUCAUAGUUCUAGAAGACUGGCCACAUGGACUAGGUGUUCUCUCAUAGUUCUAGAAGACUGGCCACAUGAACUAGGUGUUCUCUCAUAGUUCUAGAAGACUGGCCACAUGGACUAGGUGUUCUCUCAUAGUUCUAGAAGACUGGCCACAUGGACUAGGUGUUCUCUCAUAGCUCUAGAAGACUGGCCACAUGAACUAGGUGUUCUCUCAUAGCUCUAGAAGACUGGCCACAUGGACUAGGUGUUCUCUCAUAGCUCUAGAAGACUGGCCACAUGAACUAGGUGUUCUCUCAUAGUUCUAGAAGACUGGCCACACGGACUAGGUGUUUUCUCAUAGUUCUAGAAGACUGGCCACAUGGACUAGGUGUUCUCUCAUAGUUCUAGAAGACUGGCCACAUGAACUAGGUGUUCUCUCAUAGUUCUAGAAGACUGGCCACAUGGACUAGGUGUUCUCUCAUAGUUCUAGAAGACUGGCCACAUGAACUAGGUGUUCUCUCAUAGUUCUAGAAGACUGGCCACAUGGACUAGGUGUUCUCUCAUAGUUCUAGAAGACUGGCCACAUGAACUAGGUGUUCUCUCAUAGUUCUAGAAGACUGGCCACAUGGACUAGGUGUUCUCUCAUAGUUCUAGAAGACUGGCCACAUGAACUAGGUGUUCUCUCAUAGUUCUAGAAGACUGGCCACAUGGACUAGGUGUUCUCUCAUAGCUCUAGAAGACUGGCCACAUGGACUAGGUGUUUUGUUGUGCUGAAAAGUUAUAUAUUGAGGUUUGGUCAGAUCACGUUUACUAGUAAGCGAUGCGAUUAACCAUAUCUACAAAUAGUGCCUCUGAAAAGGCAUCCUAUUCCAUAGUGCACUACUACUGAUCAAAAGUAAUGCGCUCUAUAUUGUAGGGCAUAGGUUGCCAUUUCAGAAGCAGCGAGAACGUUAACAGUAUCAACUGUACCAAAUACCAGGGUCCGUUAUCCACAAAGCGUCUCAGUGUAAGAGUGCAGAUAUAGGAUCAGUUAUCUUUUAGUUCAUAAUUGAUCGUAUUAUAUGGCCAGAUCCUAGAUCAGCACUAUUACUCGGAGACGCUUUGUGGAUAUGGGCCAGGAGUUUACACGCAUACAGUGUUCAGAUGGCCACAUACAUGAUGGAACACUAACAGUCCACAAUCACAGUGUUACUGGUGUGCCCAUAUCAAUGUUUGUAAUGAAAAUACAGUACUGUGAUCAUUAUCUAUACUAUCAAAACUGUGGUUUUGGGGAGAAGGCAUUGGAAAGGUUGUCAAAAACACACAUUAGUGAUAUUGAUAGAACUGCUACAUAAGGUGUAUGCAUCUCUCCAUCUAGGAUAUGUAGCCCUUCUAGAUACUGGUCCUCCAUUGGUAUAUAAGGCAAGAAUGAACCCAUCUGUAUGAAAUCGAGUCAGCACCAAGAACUGUUGUCGAUCUCUCUCCUCACAGGCAAACACGGCAGAAAUGUAGCCUAUCACAACUGGAUAGCAUCUUAUUACCAUUAUCAAAAGAUGACAAGGUAUAUUUUCUUAAGGCAUUUCUAGAAUUGAUUUGGCUAGAUUGUGAUAAAGAUGCUCGGCUAGCAGGCUGUCCAGUGCUCUCAAAUAGACCGAAGGCGGUUUGGGAACAAAGAUCACUGUCGGAUCAAAUAUAGAAAAAAAUACCCCAGUAGAAAA